RNAcentral lists this ribosomal RNA (500 nucleotides) under uncultured bacterium. RNAcentral's name for it is "partial 16S ribosomal RNA". It matches the Rfam family "Bacterial small subunit ribosomal RNA", at positions 30 to 523 of the family's 1533-position model. The record is from RNAcentral.
AUUGAACGCUGGCGGAAUGCUUUACACAUGCAAGUCGAACGGCAGCACGGACUUCGGUCUGGUGGCGAGUGGCGAACGGGUGAGUAAUGUACCGGAACGUGCCCAGUCGUGGGGGAUAACGCAGUGAAAAUUACGCUAAUACCGCAUACGAUCUAUGGAUGAAAGCGGGGGAUCGCAAGACCUCGCGCGAUUGGAGCGGCCGAUAUCAGAUUAGGUAGUUGGUGGGGGAAAGGCCCACCAAGCCAACGAUCUGUAGCUGGUCUGAGAGGACGACCAGCCACACUGGAACUGAGACACGGUCCAGACUCCUACGGGAGGCAGCAGUGGGGAAUUUUGGACAAUGGGCGAAAGCCUGAUCCAGCCAUUCCGCGUGCAGGAUGAAGGCCCUCGGGUUGUAAACUGCUUUUGUACAGAACGAAAAGGUUUCUACUAAUACUAGGAGCUCAUGACGGUACUGUAAGAAUAAGCACCGGCUAACUACGUGCCAGCCGCCGCGGUAA